UGCCAGACUCCUACGGGAGGCAGCAGUGGGGAAUAUUGCACAAUGGGGGAAACCCUGAUGCAGCGACGCCGCGUGAGUGAAGAAGUAAUUCGUUAUGUAAAGCUCUAUCAGCAGGGAAGAAAAUGACGGUACCUGAGUAAGAAGCCCCGGCUAACUACGUGCCAGCAGCCGCGGUAAUACGUAGGGGGCAAGCGUUAUCCGGAUUUACUGGGUGUAAAGGGAGCGUAGACGGCGGCGCAAGUCUGAAGUGAAAGCCCGUGGCUCAACCGCGGAACCGCUUUGGAAACUGCGAGGCUGGAGUGCUGGAGAGGUAAGCGGAAUUCCUGGUGUAGCGGUGAAAUGCGUAGAUAUCAGGAGGAACACCGGUGGCGAAGGCGGCUUACUGGACAGUGACUGACGUUGAGGCUCGAAAGCGUGGGGAGCGAACAGGAUUAGAUACCCCAGUAGUG
RNAcentral lists this ribosomal RNA (449 nucleotides) under uncultured bacterium. RNAcentral's name for it is "bacterial SSU rRNA". It matches the Rfam family "Bacterial small subunit ribosomal RNA", at positions 329 to 795 of the family's 1533-position model. The record is from RNAcentral.